Long non-coding RNA from Passer domesticus (house sparrow), 1779 nucleotides. RefSeq lists it as uncharacterized. Lineage: Eukaryota; Metazoa; Chordata; Aves; Passeriformes; Passeridae. The transcript has 5 exons. The record is from RefSeq and is a predicted model, not a curated record.
CGGGCCAGGGAGGGAUUGCCCUGCUCUGCUCUGGGCCGGGGCGGCCUCACCUGCAAUAUUGGGUGCAGCUCUGGAAUCACAACAUAAAAAAGGCAUUAAAGUGUCAGCAAGUGAGCAGAGGAGGCCGUGGGGAUGGCGCAGGGCCGUGAGGGGAAGCCGCGUGAGGAGCAGCUGAGGGCACUUGGUUUAUUGAGAUGGAGGAGAGUGAGGGGAGGCCUCACUGCAGCUCUGCAGCUGCCCCGUGAGGGGAAGAGGAGGGGCAGGCGCUGAUCUCUGCUCUGUGCUGACCAGGGAAUGGCCUGAAGUUGUGUCUGAGAGGUUUAGGUUGGAUAUUAGGAGAAGGAUCCUCCCCCAGAGGGUGUUUGGCCAUGGGAACAGGCUCUCCAGGGCAGUGCCAGAGUUAAAGAAGCAUUUGGACACCACUCUCAGGAACGUGGUGUGACUCUGGGGCUGUGAUGUGCAGGGAGAGGAAUUGAACAUGAUGGUCCUUGUGCUUGGAAGAGGAUCUGAUCACAGCUGAAUUGUACAAGCCUGCUUCUUACUACAAGAAAUGACAGCAAGGUGCUGUACAGAUGGAGACCAUUUGAUGUCUUCUGCAUCUGAGGACUUGCAUUUGACAGAUGGAGGGCAGGAUGAAGAAGCACCAGAGGGGAGCUGCCAAGUCAGUGGCUCCCAGCAGAUGGGUCCUUUUGAGGAGAAGGAGAACCAUGGCAUGAAAAAUCCCUACUAGAUUUCCAUCUGCUCUUCUGUAUAACUGAGGGAGAGACACCUGGGAAGUCUGUGACUCAAGGAUCAAACAGGGAGGUGUUUUACACCUCUUCAAAUAUGGGACUCAGUUACAGAUGGAUUAAGGAUGUGGGUUCUGGACCACAGAGGGUGUCAUCUCCAGGGACAUCUUUUAAGAAAGGAAUGCUGAGAGGAGAUACAUCUGUGUGGAAACACACCUCAGAUCUCAAGGGGAUGGUGCUGGAGAUGAGCCUGCAUGUCACUCCCCAAGUCACACCCACAUUUCAUUUGGGGUCAACAAGUUAUUUUGGUGUGUGGACACCCUAAGGAAUUCUUACCUGUGCAGAAACUGAGCCACAAUUCAAGAGGAAUUGUGCUGUGGGACACUCAGCAAGUGCUCCUAGUGGGCUUGGAGUGGAGAAGGAGCUCAGAAAGUGGCUAUGGUCAUUUAUAUUCUCUCUCCUCCUUCAUCAGGCCAAGCAAUACAGACAGAACAAUUUUCCCAGUUGUAGUAGAGCAAAUUCUUUUUAGUGUCCAGUGCAUUGAUACGUCUUGGGACUGAAACCCUUCGCAGCAAACAAAAUCCCCUGAUGCUGUGAUGGCUGGAGUGCCAGCACACUCCUGGUGUCUCAGAAGAGCUGUAAAUCCAAAGCCUGUGUGUCAUCUGACCCCAAGAUUCCAUAGCUGGGAGCCUUUGUAGGGAAAAGUGGGAUCUGGAAAGUUGUGUGAGACAUUGUUCUCCCAAUAUGAUGGUGAAGUAAACUGAUUCCAGCUCUUCCAGGCAAGGAGCAAAUCAGAAGCUGGGAGUAAUGGGAUAGACUAAUAAAAUUAUUCUCCUUUUAAUGAGGUAUUCACCAAAUUACUGAGGGGUAGAGUGGGCCUGGGGUCCCAGCCAGGGCUGUGGCUCCACCACUGGGGCCAAACUACACCUGUGCACCCACUGUCAGCUGUGGGAUCAUCCAGGGACAGGUUUUUUGGAGAGCACAUCUCCAGCUGACAUCACUGAGGUCUGUCCCUCAAAGUGGCAGCUAUCAAAGUGCCAUUUACGAGCAA